Long non-coding RNA from Chionomys nivalis (European snow vole), 960 nucleotides. RefSeq lists it as uncharacterized. The transcript has 3 exons. NCBI's taxonomy places the organism in Eukaryota, Metazoa, Chordata, Mammalia, Rodentia, Cricetidae. The record is from RefSeq and is a predicted model, not a curated record.
AUCUUUCGUUUGAGCUCUCACCGGUUGGAAGAGUCGGGUCACGGGUCAGAAUUAAUGAAGUAUAGCGAGGCAAGCUGUCAUGGAGGAGUCGCAAGGGAGAUUGAGGACAGAGAGGUCGGAAAUGAGUCUGAAAUAGUGGAGCAAUGAACGGUAACCUUUGCAUCAUGGAUGUGCACAUAUUUUUCCACAAGCGAAUCUGAAAAUUCUGUGAGAAGUUGCGGUUCAGUGACAUGAAGGUGACUCCACCCACCUCCCACAACUUAGUAUGGAAAAGUUGAAGUAGGAUUGGUGAGAUGGCUCAGCAGCUGACUUGGAGUACUCUGCGAUACAACACUGCCUGACAGAGGAUACCCAGCUUUAUCCAUGCCCUCAACAAUUAAGACACAGAUUAUGAACUUCCUGGCCCUGCUUUGCACUUGAUUCAAAUACUGGCCUCAGUACAUAGGAUUGGCAUGCAGCGCUUGGAGGUUGUGGAUAGAGGAGAACAUGGGUACAGUGGCACCAGCACUCUUCAGCUUGGUGAUGACCUAUUGUGUUUGGGAGUAUACGUGUGUAUGUUCACCAUGCCAUGUAUGUGGACGUCAGAAGACAGUUCAGAAGAGUUGCUCCUUUCCUUCUAUCUAUUUUGGAUAUUGAACUCUGGUUAUCAGGCUUGGCAGGCUGCUCUCUUAUCCACUGACCCACUUUUCUGGCCAUGGUCUUCUAGUUUAAAAAUGUCUCCAGAUGCCACUGAAGAAUAGAGAGACUGACCUUAGACUUUACUUUCGUCCAUUUAUCUUGUUAGUUCCCACAAUGUUGUGGAUGGACCCUGUUUUCCCACUUGCUAGGCAACAGAUCUACUAUUGAACUCUAGCCCAGCUCCACAUUGGGCAUUUCUCCUAGGCGGACCGUUUCCUGCAUUGAAUAAGUAGACACAUUGGAUAUAGAAAUCACUGGCCUGAUUAUAUGCACCCCCCUGGU